GAUGAACGCUGGCGGCGUGCUUAACACAUGCAAGUCGAACGAUGAACCUCACUUGUGGGGGGAUUAGUGGCGAACGGGUGAGUAACACGUGAGUAACCUGCCCUUGACUCUGGGAUAAGCCUGGGAAACCGGGUCUAAUACUGGAUACGACCUUCUGGCGCAUGCCAUGUUGGUGGAAAGCUUUUGUGGUUUUGGAUGGACUCGCGGCCUAUCAGCUUGUUGGUGGGGUAAUGGCCUACCAAGGCGACGACGGGUAGCCGGCCUGAGAGGGUGACCGGCCACACUGGGACUGAGACACGGCCCAGACUCCUACGGGAGGCAGCAGUGGGGAAUAUUGCACAAUGGGCGCAAGCCUGAUGCAGCGACGCCGCGUGAGGGAUGAAGGCCUUCGGGUUGUAAACCUCUUUCAGUAGGGAAGAAGCCCAUCCUUCGGGGUGGGUGACGGUACCUGCAGAAGAAGCGCCGGCUAACUACGUGCCAGCAGCCGCGGUAAUACGUAGGGCGCAAGCGUUAUCCGGAAUUAUUGGGCGUAAAGAGCUCGUAGGCGGUUUGUCGCGUCUGCCGUGAAAGUCCGGGGCUUAACUCCGGAUCAGCGGUGGGUACGGGCAGACUAGAGUGCAGUAGGGGAGACUGGAAUUCCUGGUGUAGCGGUGAAAUGCGCAGAUAUCAGGAGGAACACCGAUGGCGAAGGCAGGUCUCUGGGCUGUAACUGACGCUGAGGAGCGAAAGCAUGGGGAGCGAACAGGAUUAGAUACCCUGGUAGUCCAUGCCGUAAACGUUGGGCACUAGGUGUGGGGGACAUUCCACGUUUUCCGCGCCGUAGCUAACGCAUUAAGUGCCCCGCCUGGGGAGUACGGCCGCAAGGCUAAAACUCAAAGGAAUUGACGGGGGCCCGCACAAGCGGCGGAGCAUGCGGAUUAAUUCGAUGCAACGCGAAGAACCUUACCAAGGCUUGACAUGAACCGGAAUGAUGCAGAGAUGUGUCAGCCACUUGUGGCCGGUUUACAGGUGGUGCAUGGUUGUCGUCAGCUCGUGUCGUGAGAUGUUGGGUUAAGUCCCGCAACGAGCGCAACCCUCGUUCCAUGUUGCCAGCGGGUUAUGCCGGGGACUCAUGGGAGACUGCCGGGGUCAACUCGGAGGAAGGUGGGGACGACGUCAAAUCAUCAUGCCCCUUAUGUCUUGGGCUUCACGCAUGCUACAAUGGCCGGUACAAAGGGUUGCGAUACUGUGAGGUGGAGCUAAUCCCAAAAAGCCGGUCUCAGUUCGGAUUGAGGUCUGCAACUCGACCUCAUGAAGUUGGAGUCGCUAGUAAUCGCAGAUCAGCAACGCUGCGGUGAAUACGUUCCCGGGCCU
RNAcentral lists this ribosomal RNA (1353 nucleotides) under uncultured bacterium. RNAcentral describes it as "bacterial SSU rRNA". It matches the Rfam family "Bacterial small subunit ribosomal RNA", at positions 28 to 1381 of the family's 1533-position model. The record is from RNAcentral.